This is a long non-coding RNA of Mastomys coucha (southern multimammate mouse), 494 nucleotides long. RefSeq lists it as uncharacterized. The transcript is spliced from 2 exons. Lineage: Eukaryota; Metazoa; Chordata; Mammalia; Rodentia; Muridae. The record is from RefSeq and is a predicted model, not a curated record.
UGUGGGGCUGUUUAGAUUCCUGUGAGGUCUUGGGUGUCAAAAAUCAAAAGAUCUGCUUCAGAAAGGCACUGAACUCACAGAUGCAGCACAAUGUUGCAAGGGUCUCCUUAGUGUUCUGGUUUCGGAGUUAGAUUGUGAUGAAGCCCGGUUCAGCCUGUUCUUCAUGUCACCUGACACAUAAGGAGCCACUUGAGUGCUGCAAAGUUCACCGUUUGACAUCCCGUUCUGACGUGUGCUCUAGGACAGAAGUCCUUCCACUACCUCCAGGCCCUGAUGCUUCCUCGUUCCUAGAGUUCCUUGGCUGUGGCUGCAUCACUCUGGUCUCUGCAUCACUCUGGUCUCUGCAUCACUCUGGUCUCUGUGUCCAGGGCCACAUGGUCACCUCCCCAGUGUCAUUUAUCUUAUGAAGACACCAUUGCUGGACUUAGGGACACCAUGACCAUCCAGCAUGACUGGAUGGUUUCCUAAAUGAAUCUCUUGGAUUACCUGCUCCA